AACGAACGCUGGCGGCAUGCCUAACACAUGCAAGUCGAACGAGACCUUCGGGUCUAGUGGCGCACGGGUGCGUAACGCGUGGGAACCUGCCCUUAGGUUCGGAAUAACUCCCCGAAAGGGGUGCUAAUACCGGAUAAUGUCUUCGGACCAAAGAUUUAUCGCCUUUGGAUGGGCCCGCGUUGGAUUAGCUAGUUGGUAGGGUAAAAGCCUACCAAGGCGACGAUCCAUAGCUGGUCUGAGAGGAUGAUCAGCCACACUGGGACUGAGACACGGCCCAGACUCCUACGGGAGGCAGCAGUGGGGAAUAUUAGACAAUGGGCGAAAGCCUGAUCCAGCAAUGCCGCGUGAGUGAUGAAGGCCUUAGGGUUGUAAAGCUCUUUUACCCGGGAUGAUAAUGACAGUACCGGGAGAAUAAGCGCCGGCUAACUCCGU
This 432-nucleotide ribosomal RNA is filed under the name uncultured bacterium. RNAcentral describes it as "partial 16S ribosomal RNA". It matches the Rfam family "Bacterial small subunit ribosomal RNA", at positions 29 to 506 of the family's 1533-position model. The record is from RNAcentral.